Gossypium hirsutum (cotton) is the source of this 143-nucleotide non-coding RNA. The record is from Rfam. NCBI's taxonomy places the organism in Eukaryota, Viridiplantae, Streptophyta, Magnoliopsida, Malvales, Malvaceae.
UGUUAAAAAUUUCAUCAAUUUUUACUCUUAAAAGCUGGCAUAGAUAAUAGAAUAACUAGAUUAUUACAUUUGGCAUGCCACGUGCACCUAUUUUACAUAUAGGGGUCAGUUUUUAGUAAUAGAAUUGGAUGAAAAUUUUAACA